GCCAGGUGUGGUGGUGUGCGCCUGUAGUCCCAGCUACUUGGGAGGCUGAGGUGGGAGGAUCGCUUGAACCCAGGAGGUCAAGGCUGCAGUGAGCCGUGUGUGCCACUGCACUCCAGCCUGGGUGACAGAGCAAGACCCUGUUUCAA
Unclassified non-coding RNA from Pongo abelii (Sumatran orangutan), 146 nucleotides. It matches the Rfam family "Metazoan signal recognition particle RNA". From Rfam's summary of the family: The signal recognition particle (SRP) is a universally conserved ribonucleoprotein. It is involved in the co-translational targeting of proteins to membranes. Lineage: Eukaryota; Metazoa; Chordata; Mammalia; Primates; Hominidae. The record is from Ensembl.